Molecule: long non-coding RNA, 643 nt
Organism: Syzygium oleosum
Lineage: Eukaryota; Viridiplantae; Streptophyta; Magnoliopsida; Myrtales; Myrtaceae
Exons: 2
Source: RefSeq, a predicted model, not a curated record
UCUUUGAUAAUAUAUAAUGGAAGAUUCACAAGCCGGUUAGAGCCACAUUUAUCUGUUUAACAAAAUGAUUUUUAAAGUGGGGAUAUGAACAGAAGUGGUCAUUCCGUACUAUGGUCCAAAUUGUGUGGCUUGACUUUGGCUUGCCAUCUGAAAAUGACUUCAUCGCUACCAGUCAAUCAGCAAUAGGGAUACCUGUCCGUCAAUAAUAAUGCGAGACUUAUCGUCUUCUACUGAUUGGUCUCUCUCUCUCUCUCUCUCUCUCUCUCUCUCAUUUCUCACUUUAUCUUUCACAUUCGGCCUCUCUCUUGCAUAAAGCAUUCGAGACUAUCGUCUACUGAUUAUUCCUCACUCGCUUUCUCUGUUCUUUUCCCCCUUGAAAGUUCUUGCCCAGGCUUGUUCAGGGUCUUCUCUCCCCGAUCUCGCGCCUCUCUUCGCAUCUCAGCUCGCAGGAGCAGAGGAGGGUCUUCUAUUCUCUCUUUUGGAGCCGUUGUUGCCUGUUAACGAGGUAUGUCCCCAGCUCAGAUUUUACUUCGGUGCAAAAAGAAAGCCCUUUGUUUUCGACUUUAGAUGUGGCUAAUCCUAUGAUGGCCUUGCUGGCUGAUUGUUAGUUGCAUCGUAAUUCAGUAUUUGAUCUUUUGUUGAA